GUGGGGAAUAUUGCGCAAUGGGGGAAACCCUGACGCAGCAAUGCCGCGUGAGUGAAGAAGGCCCUCGGGUCGUAAAGCUCUGUUGUAAGGGAAGAAGUCCGUUGGGCGAAUAGUCCAGCGGGAUGACGGUACCUUACCAGAAAGCACCGGCUAACUCCGUGCCAGCAGCCGCGGUAAUACGGAGGGUGCGAGCGUUGUUCGGAAUCAUUGGGCGUAAAGCGGGUGCAGGCGGUGAGGUGUGUCUGAUGUGAAAGCCCGGGGCUUAACUCCGGAAGUGCAUUGGAAACUGCUUCACUUGAGUCCUGGAGAGGGUAACGGAAUUCCUGGUGUAGAGGUGAAAUUCGUAGAUAUCAGGAGGAACACCGGUGGCGAAGGCGGUUACCUGGACAGUGACUGACGCUCAUACCCGAAAGCGUGGGGAGCAAACAGGAUUAGAUACCCUAGUAGUCC
Molecule: ribosomal RNA, 450 nt
Filed under: uncultured bacterium
Lineage: Bacteria
Description: bacterial SSU rRNA
Rfam family: Bacterial small subunit ribosomal RNA
Source: RNAcentral